AUGGAGCCGACGGCGAGCGCUCCAAUGCAACACCAAAAGCUUCCCUCGAGAGCCGCCAGCGAUGUUGCAUCGAGCCGCUGCGGUGCUGCACUGAGCCGUCGUCGAAGCUCCAAUGCAGCCGCGGCGGAGCUCCAACUACCCCGGCGGCGCUCCAUUGCAGCCCCGGCCACGCUUCAUUGCAGCGCCGGCGAUGACAGCGGAUGCUGCGAUGCAGCACGCGGCGGCCAUGGCGGAAGUUGCGAUGCAGCGCACGACGAAGACGGCGCAGGCUGCUUCACCGGAGCUGCAGUGGAGCAGCGGUGCAGCGACGCGAGGCGACGGCGGUUUGCAGCAGCGGCGAAGAGCAUGGCGUGUAGGAGCAGGCAUAGCAGAAACGCGAGUGGUGGCGGGCCGGCACUGGUGCCGAUGGCACUGCCAUGGCUGUGUUGUGCCGCAGGAAGAAGAAAAACGAGGAGAAGAAACAAGCAGCUCAACGCGUGCAGGAAAGAGAUAAGAGAAUGA
This 501-nucleotide ribosomal RNA is filed under the name Triticum aestivum (bread wheat). RNAcentral describes it as "partial small subunit ribosomal RNA". The record is from RNAcentral. Lineage: Eukaryota; Viridiplantae; Streptophyta; Magnoliopsida; Poales; Poaceae.